UACGUAGGGCGCAAGCGUUGUCCGGAAUUAUUGGGCGUAAAGAGCUCGUAGGCGGUUUGUCACGUCUGCUGUGAAAUCCCGAGGCUCAACCUCGGGCGUGCAGUGGGUACGGGCAGACUAGAGUGCGGUAGGGGAGACCGGAAUUCCUGGUGUAGCGGUGGAAUGCGCAGAUAUCAGGAGGAACACCGAUGGCGAAGGCAGGUCUCUGGGCCGCAACUGACGCUGAGGAGCGAAAGCAUGGGUAGCGAACAGGAUUAGAUA
Molecule: ribosomal RNA, 261 nt
Filed under: uncultured prokaryote
Description: partial 16S ribosomal RNA
Rfam family: Bacterial small subunit ribosomal RNA
Source: RNAcentral